Molecule: ribosomal RNA, 412 nt
Filed under: Wolbachia sp.
Lineage: Bacteria; Pseudomonadati; Pseudomonadota; Alphaproteobacteria; Rickettsiales; Anaplasmataceae
Description: bacterial SSU rRNA
Rfam family: Bacterial small subunit ribosomal RNA
Source: RNAcentral
AGGGAUAGGGUCGGUUCGGCCGGAUUUCACACAGGUGUUGCAUGGCUGUCGUCAGCUCGUGUCGUGAGAUGUUGGGUUAAGUCCCGCAACGAGCGCAACCCUCAUCCUUAGUUACCAUCAGGUAAUGCUGGGGACUUUAAGGAAACUGCCAGUGAUAAACUGGAGGAAGGUGGGGAUGAUGUCAAGUCAUCAUGGCCCUUAUGGAGUGGGCUACACACGUGCUACAAUGGUGGCUACAAUGGGCUGCAAAGUCGCGAGGCUAAGCUAAUCCCUUAAAAGCCAUCUCAGUUCGGAUUGUACUCUGCAACUCGAGUACAUGAAGUUGGAAUCGCUAGUAAUCGUGGAUCAGCAUGCCACGGUGAAUACGUUCUCGGGUCUUGUACACACUGCCCGUCACGCCGUGGGAAUUGGU